Molecule: ribosomal RNA, 496 nt
Filed under: uncultured bacterium
Lineage: Bacteria
Description: partial 16S ribosomal RNA
Rfam family: Bacterial small subunit ribosomal RNA
Source: RNAcentral
GAUGAACGCUGGCGGCGUGCCUAAUACAUGCAAGUCGAGCGAACAGACGAGGAGCUUGCUCCUCUGACGUUAGCGGCGGACGGGUGAGUAACACGUGGAUAACCUACCUAUAAGACUGGGAUAACUUCGGGAAACCGGAGCUAAUACCGGAUAAUAUAUUGAACCGCAUGGUUCAAUAGUGAAAGACGGUUUUGCUGUCACUUAUAGAUGGAUCCGCGCCGCAUUAGCUAGUUGGUAAGGUAACGGUUUACCAAGGCAACGAUGCGUAGCCGACCUGAGAGGGUGAUCGGCCACACUGGAACUGAGACACGGUCCAGACUCCUACGGGAGGCAGCAGUAGGGAAUCUUCCGCAAUGGGCGAAAGCCUGACGGAGCAACGCCGCGUGAGUGAUGAAGGUCUUCGGAUCGUAAAACUCUGUUAUUAGGGAAGAACAAAUGUGUAAGUAACUAUGCACGUCUUGACGGUACCUAAUCAGAAAGCCACGGCUAACUACGU